UUGGUUCAUCUUUCCUAGAUCCUAUCCAUUCAAAACAUCUUAGGAUAUAAGGAAAUAAAAAUUACUCUUAAGCUUCUAUUGAUCCUCUUGACGCUUGAACUUGAAUCUUCAAUGUUGUUGUUGAUUUAGCUUUGUCUACACCUUCAUACUUUGUCAUCAUCAAGAUUAUGCAAUGAACACUUGCAUUCACAAAGCUAAGGUUGGAGACUGAGUAUUGUCCUAUAUAGUUGGUUUAGUGCAUUCUGUCUCAAUUGCAAAUAAGAACUCCAUAUUAUUGGGAUCCUCUCUUCCUUCAUGGAUUGCUUUCAUUUCAAC
Molecule: long non-coding RNA, 315 nt
Filed under: Lupinus angustifolius (narrow-leaved blue lupine)
Lineage: Eukaryota; Viridiplantae; Streptophyta; Magnoliopsida; Fabales; Fabaceae
Description: long non-coding RNA (LANG_LNC001687)
Source: RNAcentral